This 329-nucleotide unclassified non-coding RNA is filed under the name soil metagenome. RNAcentral's name for it is "partial contains 5.8S ribosomal RNA, internal transcribed spacer 2, and large subunit ribosomal RNA". The stretch from base 1 to 120 matches the Rfam family "5.8S ribosomal RNA", at positions 35 to 154 of the family's 154-position model. The record is from RNAcentral.
GAUGAAGAAAGUAGCGAAAUGCGAUAAGUGGUGUGAAUUGCAGAAUUCAGUGAAUCAUCGAAUCUUUGAACGCACAUUGCGCCCCUUGGUAUCCCGAGGGGCAUGCCUGUUCGAGCGUCAUUUCACCACUCAAGCCUGGCUUGGUGUUGGGCGACGUCCCCUUUGGGGACGCGCCUCGAAACGCUCGGCGGCGUGGCACCGGCUUUAAGCGUAGCAGAAUCUUUCGCUUUGGAAGUCGGGGCCCCGUCUGCCGGAAGACCUACUCGCAAGGUUGACCUCGGAUCAGGCAGGGAUACCCGCUGAACUUAAGCAUAUCAAUAAGCGGAGGA